GCCUUUGUAGCUCAGUGGAUAGAGCGACCGCCUCCUAAGCGGUAGGUCGCAGGUUCGAUUCCUGCCAAGGGCACCA
Molecule: transfer RNA, 76 nt
Filed under: Salmonella enterica subsp. enterica serovar Weltevreden
Lineage: Bacteria; Pseudomonadati; Pseudomonadota; Gammaproteobacteria; Enterobacterales; Enterobacteriaceae
Also listed under: 6 other names
Description: tRNA-Arg
Rfam family: tRNA
About the family: Transfer RNA (tRNA) molecules are approximately 80 nucleotides in length. Their secondary structure includes four short double-helical elements and three loops (D, anti-codon, and T loops).
Source: RNAcentral